RNAcentral lists this ribosomal RNA (404 nucleotides) under uncultured bacterium. RNAcentral's name for it is "bacterial SSU rRNA". It matches the Rfam family "Bacterial small subunit ribosomal RNA", at positions 355 to 776 of the family's 1533-position model. The record is from RNAcentral.
UGGGGAAUAUUGGACAAUGGGGGAAACCCUGAUCCAGCGAUGCCGCGUGAGUGAAGAAGGCCUUCGGGUUGUAAAGCUCUUUCAGAAGGGAAGAUAAUGACGGUACCUUCAGAAGAAGCACCGGCUAACUUCGUGCCAGCAGCCGCGGUAAUACGAAGGGUGCAAGCGUUGUUCGGAAUUACUGGGCGUAAAGAGCGCGUAGGCGGUCUGCCAAGUCAGACGUGAAAGCCCUGGGCUUAACCCGGGAAUUGCGUUUGAAACUGGCGGACUUGAGUGUCAGAGGGGUGAGUGGAAUUCCUAGUGUAGAGGUGAAAUUCGUAGAUAUUAGGAGGAACACCAGUGGCGAAGGCGACUCACUGGCUGAAUACUGACGCUAAGGCGCGAAAGCGUGGGGAGCAAACAGG